UAGCGUGUAAACUCCAUCACCAAACUUGGUCAAACAUUGCAGGUAACAUGAAAAAUGUUCCUGCAGUGAAGAACAGGAUAUUUCAGGACUUCCAAACUUGGACUGGACUCAACGGUAGUCCGAGAACUUUAAAGGGGAACUGCACUUUCCGACAAGUUGGUACACUUUGACAGCCAAUUUAGACUUGGGAAUGGCGAGAACGACACAAAAAGACGCUUGGUUCCACCCCCCUUUUCGUUGUGAGUCAUUCUUCAUCUAAAUGGGAAUAUAUGAACAUCCUAGCCAUCGGCAUCCUAACGACAGCAGACCUUGUACAGCUGCAGCCCCCGCAACCCGACCUCGGAUAAGUGGAAGAAGAUGGAUGGACGGAAAUAAGUAUUUUUGUUAUAUUAUUUUAAAUAAGCAUACUUGUCGACAAAUACACACAUACAUACAUAUACACACAUGCAUACAUACGCACAUGUAAACAUAAAUGCUUUUAUACACAUUUACAAAUACACUUCCACAUUACCAAAAACAUGGUACAUUACUGAGUGUGAUAUAUAUGUAUCAAUAUCAUAACACUGUAUAUAUUUCUCUUAUAUUUUUACUUGAGUUGAUUGUAUCAAAUUAACUUAAUCACAUUUUAUUUAUCAAGCCCUAAAUCCCGGGUGCCGACAUUCCCUAAACUCUAACCCACAUACGGGCAAGAAAUUAGUUUUUUAUACAAACCCCAGAUGGGGAAAAUGAAGAAACCUUUGAGAAGGGAUCGCAGCUGUAGGGACCCUUCUUCCAGGAGAAUUGGGACAAAGCAGAAAAGCGGCAGAUCAACUGUUCUAAAAGGGGUUUCUACAAAACCUAAAACAAGUGACAUUGGCACGUUGUGUAAAUGGUAAAUAAAAACUGAAUACAAUGAUUUGCAAAUGCUUUUCAACUUAAAUUCCAUUGAAUAGACUGCAAAGACAAGAUACUUAACGUUCUCACUGGAAAGCUUUGUUAUUUUUGGAAAAUAUUAGCUCAUUUGGAAUUUGAUGCCUGCAACAUGUUUCAAAAAAGAGUGAGAAAGUUGAGGAAUGCUCAUCAAAGACUUAUUUGGAACAUCCCACAGGUGAACAGGCUAAUUGGGAACAGGUGGGUGCCAUGAUUGGGUAUAAAAGUAGAUUCCAUGAAAUGCUCAGUCAUUCACAAACAAGGAUGGGGCGAGGGUCACCACUUUGUCAACAAAUGCCUGAGCAAAUUGUUUAAGAACAACAUUUCUCAACCAGCUAUUGCAAGGAAUUUAGUC
Entelurus aequoreus (snake pipefish) is the source of this 1264-nucleotide long non-coding RNA. RefSeq lists it as uncharacterized. The record is from RefSeq and is a predicted model, not a curated record. The transcript has 3 exons. Lineage: Eukaryota; Metazoa; Chordata; Actinopteri; Syngnathiformes; Syngnathidae.